AGAGUUUGAUCAUGGCUCAGAUUAAACGCUGGCGGCAUGCCUUACACAUGCAAGUCGAACGGCAGCACGGGGGCAACCCUGGUGGCGAGUGGCGAACGGGUGAGUAAAGCAUCGGAACGUGCCCUGGAGUGGGGGAUAACGUAGCGAAAGUUACGCUAAUACCGCAUAUUCUGUGAGCAGGAAAGCAGGGGAUCGCAAGACCUUGCGCUUUGGGAGCGGCCGAUGUCGGAUUAGCUAGUUGGUGGGUAAAGGCCUACCAAGGCGACGAUCCGUAGCGGGUCUGAGAGGAUGAUCCGCCGCACUGGGACUGAGACACGGCCCAGACUCCUACGGGAGGCAGCAGUGGGGAAUUUUGGACAAUGGGCGCAAGCCUGAUCCAGCCAUGCCGCGUGAGUGAAGAAGGCCUUCGGGUUGUAAAGCUCUUUCGGUGGGGAAGAAAUUGCACGGGUUAAUACCCUGUGCGGAUGACGGUACCGGCAUAAGAAGCACCGGCUAACUACGUG
RNAcentral lists this ribosomal RNA (503 nucleotides) under uncultured bacterium. RNAcentral describes it as "bacterial SSU rRNA". It matches the Rfam family "Bacterial small subunit ribosomal RNA", at positions 8 to 507 of the family's 1533-position model. The record is from RNAcentral.